This 253-nucleotide ribosomal RNA is filed under the name uncultured bacterium. RNAcentral describes it as "partial 16S ribosomal RNA". It matches the Rfam family "Bacterial small subunit ribosomal RNA", at positions 524 to 776 of the family's 1533-position model. The record is from RNAcentral.
UACAGAGGGUGCAAGCGUUGUUCGGAGUUACUGGGCGUAAAGCGCGUGUAGGCGGAUCGAGAAGUCGGGUGUGAAAUCCCUGGGCUUAACCCAGGAACUGCGCCCGAAACCAUCGGUCUGGAGUGUGGCAGGGGAGCGGGGAAUUCCCGGUGUAGAGGUGAAAUUCGUAGAUAUCGGGAGGAACACCAGUGGCGAAGGCGCCGCUCUGGGCCAUCACUGACGCUAAAACGCGAAAGCUUGGGGAGCAAACAGG